UACGUAGGUGGCAAGCGUUGUCCGGAAUUAUUGGGCGUAAAGCGCGCGCAGGCGGUCCUUUAAGUCUGAUGUGAAAGCCCACGGCUCAACCGUGGAGGGUCAUUGGAAACUGGGGGACUUGAGUGCAGAAGAGGAAAGUGGAAUUCCACGUGUAGCGGUGAAAUGCGUAGAGAUGUGGAGGAACACCAGUGGCGAAGGCGGUUACCUGGAAGAUUCCUGACUCUGAAACACGAAAGCCAGGGGAGCAAACGGG
Molecule: ribosomal RNA, 253 nt
Filed under: uncultured bacterium
Lineage: Bacteria
Description: partial 16S ribosomal RNA
Rfam family: Bacterial small subunit ribosomal RNA
Source: RNAcentral